AAUCCUCAAAAGAGAAUCUUAACUUUUUCUCUUUUGGAAUUGGGGUGUGCUGGCCUUUUGUUUAGAAAGCCCAGCUCCCCUAAAAUACAUUAGCGAUGUGACAUCCGCAUGGCACCACGCUUCUCUGGCAUUGAUAGUCUUUUCAUGCCUGAGCGUGCUGUGCAGCUGUGGAAAGUUUCGCUCGCUCACAACUGAUGGGUUUCCCCAUCCUCAUGACCA
RNAcentral lists this unclassified non-coding RNA (219 nucleotides) under uncultured Hygrocybe. Its description in RNAcentral is "sequence contains ITS2". Lineage: Eukaryota; Fungi; Basidiomycota; Agaricomycetes; Agaricales; Hygrophoraceae. The record is from RNAcentral.